GGUGGCAUAGCCAAGCAGGUUAAGGCAAAGGUCUGCAAAACCUUGAUUCCCCAGUUCGAAUCCGGGUGUCACCU
Molecule: transfer RNA, 74 nt
Filed under: Bacillus sp. (in: firmicutes)
Lineage: Bacteria; Bacillati; Bacillota; Bacilli; Caryophanales; Bacillaceae
Description: Bacillus sp. (in: Bacteria) tRNA-Cys
Rfam family: tRNA
About the family: Transfer RNA (tRNA) molecules are approximately 80 nucleotides in length. Their secondary structure includes four short double-helical elements and three loops (D, anti-codon, and T loops).
Source: RNAcentral